Molecule: ribosomal RNA, 583 nt
Filed under: Pichia manshurica
Lineage: Eukaryota; Fungi; Ascomycota; Pichiomycetes; Pichiales; Pichiaceae
Description: eukaryotic LSU rRNA
Rfam family: Eukaryotic large subunit ribosomal RNA
Source: RNAcentral
AAGAGCUCAGAUUUGAAAUCGUGUUUCGGCACGAGUUGUAGAGUGUAGGCGGGAGUCUCUGUGGAGCGCGGUGUCCAAGUCCCUUGGAACAGGGUGCCUGAGAGGGUGAGAGCCCCGUAGGGUGCUGCGCGAAGCUUUUGAGGCCCUGCUGACGAGUCGAGUUGUUUGGGAAUGCAGCUCCAAGCGGGUGGUAAAUUCCAUCUAAGGCUAAAUAUUGGCGAGAGACCGAUAGCGAACAAGUACUGUGAAGGAAAGAUGAAAAGCACUUUGAAAAGAGAGUGAAACAGCACGUGAAAUUGUUGAAAGGGAAGGGUAUUGGGCUCGACAUGGGGGGUGCGCACCGCUGUCUCUUGUAGGCGGCGCUCUGGGCGCCCUCUGGGCCAGCAUCGGUUCCUGCUGCGGGAGAAGGGGCUCCGGAAAGUGGCUCUUCGGAGUGUUAUAGCCGGGGCCAGAUGCCGCGUGUGGGGACCGAGGACUGCGGCUUCUGUCUCGGAUGCUGGCAUAACGGCGCAAUACCGCCCGUCUUGAAACACGGACCCUGCAUAUCAAUAAGCGGAGGAAAAGCCGUCUUGAAACACGGACC